CCUGCCCCUAGAAGUGUUGCAAAUGUGGAUUCUAUAUCAUGUGCGUGUCCAUAGGUGACAGAGAGGAGAGAGGCUAUCUCUACACUCAGCAUUCUGACAUGAAUGUCUGAAUAAUUAGUGGCCUAACAGU
Acomys russatus (golden spiny mouse) is the source of this 130-nucleotide small nucleolar RNA. RefSeq annotates it as small nucleolar RNA SNORA17. Lineage: Eukaryota; Metazoa; Chordata; Mammalia; Rodentia; Muridae. The record is from RefSeq and is a predicted model, not a curated record. The transcript has a single exon.